Molecule: ribosomal RNA, 401 nt
Filed under: uncultured bacterium
Lineage: Bacteria
Description: bacterial SSU rRNA
Rfam family: Bacterial small subunit ribosomal RNA
Source: RNAcentral
UGGGGAAUAUUGCACAAUGGGCGCAAGCCUGAUGCAGCGACGCCGCGUGAGUGAUGAAGGCCUUAGGGUUGUAAAGCUCUUUUACCCGGGAUGAUAAUGACAGUACCGGGAGAAUAAGCCCCGGCUAACUCCGUGCCAGCAGCCGCGGUAAUACGGAGGGGGCUAGCGUUGUUCGGAAUUACUGGGCGUAAAGCGCACGUAGGCGGCUUUGUAAGUUAGAGGUGAAAGCCCGGGGCUCAACCCCGGAAUUGCCUUUGAAACUGGAAAACUUGAAUCUUGGAGAGGUCAGUGGAAUUCCGAGUGUAGAGGUGAAAUUCGUAGAUAUUCGGAAGAACACCAGUGGCGAAGGCGACUGACUGGACAAGUAUUGACGCUGAGGUGCGAAAGCGUGGGGAGCAAAC